UUGACAGUCCUGGAGACUGAAUUCCUCUGGUUAUCCUCAGAACAGGCAACAGCAAUGCAAACAUUCCAGUGGUGACUCAGUCCAGAUGAGAAAGGACUUCCCUGAAGGGUAAAGAGUGGGCAUUACCACAGCUCAUUCAGUCCUCUGCCCAC
Molecule: small RNA, 152 nt
Filed under: Chelonoidis abingdonii (Abingdon island giant tortoise)
Lineage: Eukaryota; Metazoa; Chordata; Testudines; Testudinidae
Description: TUC338 (ENSCABG00000002569.1)
Source: RNAcentral